This 385-nucleotide unclassified non-coding RNA is filed under the name Aphyllon uniflorum var. occidentale. RNAcentral describes it as "partial external transcribed spacer". The record is from RNAcentral. Lineage: Eukaryota; Viridiplantae; Streptophyta; Magnoliopsida; Lamiales; Orobanchaceae.
CUUGCUGCGCAUCGACAAUUUCUCAUGCAUUCCAUUUCAGUUGUUGCAUCAAGUUUUACUUGGUCGUUGUGUGUUUCCUGUGCUAAAUACCUAACAUGAAGGCAUUCCAUUUGAUGUGAAUACUAUAUCCAAUCCACCUUUUGAUGCCCCCAAGUUGAGUGCGUUUUGUUGGUGGACCUCAAAUCAUGCAUUUUGGUUCACAUCCUUUGCCUGCUUGUUCAUGCUUUGGUUGUUGACCCAUGAUGCUGUGUUUGAUUUCUUGGAUAUUGAAAAUUGUGAGGGAAUGGGUCUUUGGCCUUUAAUAACCCCAAAUUAUGCGUUCGACGCUAUAAGCGAACGACUGUCGUGUCUGUGUUGGACGAGUCCUUUGGACUUGGCUCAUACG